Molecule: ribosomal RNA, 1633 nt
Filed under: Campylobacter jejuni
Lineage: Bacteria; Pseudomonadati; Campylobacterota; Epsilonproteobacteria; Campylobacterales; Campylobacteraceae
Description: partial 23S ribosomal RNA
Rfam family: Bacterial large subunit ribosomal RNA
Source: RNAcentral
AAAAAAGGUAAGCUACUAAGAGCGAAUGGUGGAUGCCUUGACUGGUAAAGGCGAUGAAGGACGUACUAGACUGCGAUAAGCUACGGGGAGCUGUCAAGAAGCUUUGAUCCGUAGAUUUCCGAAUGGGGCAACCCAAUGUAUAGAGAUAUACAUUACCUAUAUAGGAGCGAACGAGGGGAAUUGAAACAUCUUAGUACCCUCAGGAAAAGAAAUCAAUAGAGAUUGCGUCAGUAGCGGCGAGCGAAAGCGCAAGAGGGCAAACCCAGUGCUUGCACUGGGGGUUGUAGGACUGCAAUGUGCAAGAGGUAAGUUUAGCAGAACAUUCUGGAAAGUAUAACCAUAGAGGGUGAUAGUCCCGUAUGCGAAAAACAAACCUUAGCUAGCAGUAUCCUGAGUAGGGCGGGACACGAGGAAUCCUGUCUGAAUCCGGGUCGACCACGAUCCAACCCUAAAUACUAAUACCAGAUCGAUAGUGCACAAGUACCGUGAGGGAAAGGUGAAAAGAACUGAGGUGAUCAGAGUGAAAUAGAACCUGAAACCAUUUGCUUACAAUCAUUCAGAGCCCUAUGUAGGAAUACAGGGUGAUGGACUGCCUUUUGCAUAAUGAGCCUGCGAGUUGUGGUGUCUGGCAAGGUUAAGCAAACGCGAAGCCGUAGCGAAAGCGAGUCUGAAUAGGGCGCUUAGUCAGAUGCUGCAGACCCGAAACGAAGUGAUCUAUCCAUGAGCAAGUUGAAGCUAGUGUAAGAACUAGUGGAGGACUGAACCCAUAGGCGUUGAAAAGCCCCGGGAUGACUUGUGGAUAGGGGUGAAAGGCCAAUCAAACUUCGUGAUAGCUGGUUCUCUCCGAAAUAUAUUUAGGUAUAGCGUUGUGUCGUAAUAUAAGGGGGUAGAGCACUGAAUGGGCUAGGGCAUACACCAAUGUACCAAACCCUAUCAAACUCCGAAUACCUUAUAUGUAAUCACAGCAGUCAGGCGGCGAGUGAUAAAAUCCGUCGUCAAGAGGGAAACAACCCAGACUACCAGCUAAGGUCCCUAAAUCUUACUUAAGUGGAAAACGAUGUGAAGUUACUUAAACAACCAGGAGGUUGGCUUAGAAGCAGCCAUCCUUUAAAGAAAGCGUAAUAGCUCACUGGUCUAGUGAUUUUGCGCGGAAAAUAUAACGGGGCUAAAGUAAGUACCGAAGCUGUAGACUUGCACACAACUUAGAUUAUUUAAGUUUAGAAUAUGAGAAACUAAGUUAUAUGUUUAGUUAUAUUUUUACUGAUUUUUAUAGAGUAAAGAUAGAAAUAAAACUUAGUAAAAUCAGUAAAAAUAUUCUUAGACUAAAGUUAAGUAGUUUAAGUUGUGUGCAAGUGGUAGGAGAGCGUUCUAUUUGCGUCGAAGGUAUACCGGUAAGGAGUGCUGGAGCGAAUAGAAGUGAGCAUGCAGGCAUGAGUAGCGAUAAUUAAUGUGAGAAUCAUUAACGCCGUAAACCCAAGGUUUCCUACGCGAUGCUCGUCAUCGUAGGGUUAGUCGGGUCCUAAGUCGAGUCCGAAAGGGGUAGACGAUGGCAAAUUGGUUAAUAUUCCAAUACCAACAUUAGUGUGCGAUGGAAGGACGCUUAGGGCUAAGGGGGCUAGCGGAUGGAAGUGCU